RNAcentral lists this ribosomal RNA (445 nucleotides) under bacterium AS2. RNAcentral's name for it is "bacterial SSU rRNA". It matches the Rfam family "Bacterial small subunit ribosomal RNA", at positions 337 to 794 of the family's 1533-position model. The record is from RNAcentral.
UCCUACGGGAGGCAGCAGUGGGGAAUAUUGCACAAUGGGCGGAAGCCUGAUGCAGCAACGCCGCGUGAGGGAUGACGGCCUUCGGGUUGUAAACCUCUUUUAGCAAGGAAGAAGCUUUUGUGACGGUACUUGCAGAAAAAGCGCCGGCUAACUACGUGCCAGCAGCCGCGGUAAUACGUAGGGCGCAAGCGUUAUCCGGAAUUAUUGGGCGUAAAGAGCUCGUAGGCGGUUUGUCGCGUCUGCUGUGAAAUCCCGAGGCUCAACCUCGGGCCUGCAGUGGGUACGGGCAGACUAGAGUGCGGUAGGGGAGAUUGGAAUUCCUGGUGUAGCGGUGGAAUGCGCAGAUAUCAGGAGGAACACCGAUGGCGAAGGCAGAUCUCUGGGCCGUAACUGACGCUGAGGAGCGAAAGGGUGGGGAGCAAACAGGAUUAGAUACCCUGGUAGA